This 321-nucleotide ribosomal RNA is filed under the name uncultured eukaryote. RNAcentral's name for it is "partial 18S ribosomal RNA". It matches the Rfam family "Eukaryotic small subunit ribosomal RNA", at positions 1470 to 1796 of the family's 1831-position model. The record is from RNAcentral.
CCCUUAGAUGUCCUGGGCCGCACGCGCGCUACACUGACAUGUUCAACAAGCCUCCUAGUUCGACAGGAUUUGGGAAAUCUUUGAACGCAUGUCGUGAUAGGGAUAGAUCAUUGCAAUUAUUGAUCUUGAACGAGGAAUUCCUAGUAAACGCGAGUCAUCAGCUCGCAUUGAUUACGUCCCUGCCCUUUGUACACACCGCCCGUCGCACCUACCGAUUGAAUGUUUCGGUGAAGAUUCCGGAUAGGACUUUUUUGAUUUACUUCAAUUCUGUCUUAAAAGCUAUCUAAACCUCAACAUUUAGAGGAAGGUGAAGUCGUAACA